Molecule: transfer RNA, 76 nt
Filed under: Candidatus Altimarinota bacterium
Lineage: Bacteria; Candidatus Altimarinota
Description: Candidatus Gracilibacteria bacterium tRNA-Lys
Rfam family: tRNA
About the family: Transfer RNA (tRNA) molecules are approximately 80 nucleotides in length. Their secondary structure includes four short double-helical elements and three loops (D, anti-codon, and T loops).
Source: RNAcentral
GGACUCUUAGCUCAGUUGGUAGAGCAAAUCCCUCUUAAGGAUGAGGUCCCGGGUUCGAGCCCCGGAGGGUCCACCA